UUACAUAUCUAUUUUGGCCUGUAUUCCCACGCUGCCUCCCUAUAUGGGUUUCUGGAUAUCUGCUUUUUGGUAAGCAGCCCCAAAACCUUCUGAAGAUCUUUGGACUUUCCUCUAUGGGUGAGGAGGUCAGGGCUCCCUUAUCAGGCAAACUGCUGACCCAACAACAAGGUGCAAAGAGCUGCAGAUUUUGAAGCUGCAGUUACAAUUUUGACUUUUUCCUAAGAGUUAGCAUGCUAAAGGUGGGGAUGCUUACCCUCCUUCCUGGUAAGGAACAGCCAAGGUAACUGUCUCUCCUAUUCAUUGCAAAUACUACUCAGCACUCAAAUAAAUAAAUGCAGCUUUCUACUGAAGUGCUCCUGAAGCUGCUGAGCAGUGGGGCAAAGGAACUGAUACCUUUUGGGUUGAGUGCCAGAGAAAUUCAGUGUCUGACAUGGACUUUUCAUUUUCAAAGCAGCUCCCAGUGUGGUUGUUCAGUAGCUCAGAGCUCAGCCAGGCUGCAGGUGCCCUCUCUCCCCGCCUCUGUUUAGAUCCACACAACCUGAGCCUGGGAGCAAAGGCCAUGGAGCUGCUGGCAUGUUUUGAAAUAUGAUACAGGCAGCAGCAGGAAUCCAAACACUGGAGGCGGUUCUUACUGAUGCAAUAGUAACACUGCACGCCAGAAACAAGAUCUCCUUCUUACACAGCAGAAUGAGUGACUCUUGGACAUUUUUCCAAAUGCUCAUAUACAUGAAGAUAGCAGGCAAUGGCUGUCCUAUGGAGGGACCUGCAAAGUGCUUGGGGCCCUGGCUACAAAGCUGGGCAGCUCCCCAUCCACUGUGUGGUAGGAUAGGAAGGUCUCAGCCUCAGAGAAAUCCCCAGGCCUGGGUGUUGCCAGAAUGGUCCCUGCCUGCUCCUCACCCCCAGGUCCUUUCUUGAAUGGGUUCACAACAUGUUCAGAAUUAAAGGUCAAAUCCCAAGGUCCUUAGUGAGGCAAAGCUCCUGGCCAGGUGUGUGUUUUACAAUCUAGACCACACUGGGUAACCAGUUUGUAGUGAGAAACCUCCCCAGUUUCUGCAGAGUUACCUGAACAAUACCUGACUGAAAUCCUGUCAGGUGCACAAAGAUGACCUUCCUGAUGCCUGCUCAGUAUAAACUCUUGUCACAAAGUUUUUCCAAAGCCCACACAAAAGAGCAAGCCACUGGAUCUUCUAAUUUAUGCUUUUUGAAUCUAAACCAAUGAGAGGCUCCUGAUGUGCAGAGCAGAAGAUCCUCACAGGGCUGGGGAGCUCUCUGGGCCUGGCCAUGCCUUGUCCUGCACUGCUCAGGGGAAGGGAGCUGUUGUUCUUUCUUGGCCAGUUUCUAGAAGAAUUCAGUUUUCUCUACCUCACCCUGGUUGUCUUCAAUUUUAUGUCACCUCCUGGCAGUUGUGAGCUGCUAUGAUAUUAAAGAAAACAUAUUCCAGUAACAGCAUCAAUUUACUUUCCAAGCUGGAGUGUUAAAGAAGGUUUACUGCCUCUUGAAUCUUCCAUGUCAAAAAACCCCACCAAAAUCUACUUAGAAGCCUUAUCACUUUUGCUUGUAGAGAAAAAGAUCUGAGGUCUUACACUGCUGUAUAAAUGAACAUUAUAGAAUACAAACUUGGUACUAGUUCUACUGGCAUUGAAAUUCAAGUCUGUAUCAUGUGGGAGAUGCAGCUUAAGAAAUACCAGUAAGUACUUAGGGAAAAUAUUUUUUUUAAAAUUUGAAAUAAAACGAGAAUUUUACCA
Long non-coding RNA from Taeniopygia guttata (zebra finch), 1745 nucleotides. The record is from Ensembl. NCBI's taxonomy places the organism in Eukaryota, Metazoa, Chordata, Aves, Passeriformes, Estrildidae.